CCUGUAUUUAGAGCUGACCACUUGUGAUUGGAUCACCCGAGACGGAUGUUAAUACCAGGUGUAAACAGGGCCUAACUCUUGAGCUCAAAUGGUGUUAAAUUGAGGUGCCACCUUGGUAGGAUUUUGAACCAGAAAGAACCCUAUUUUCAUAGCCUAUUUAACUACAAAUGCUCAGAUAAUAUUAGGUUUGGUACUACUAUAAUUGAUUCUGCUUAAGAAUACGUACUUUAUUCAUCUUAUUUUGGAACGCGGAAGUAGACAGUUGGUCGAACUUCCGUUUUUGUGUGGCACUUCCGUUUGACCGCUUGAGCCAACUAAUGUUAGCUUAACUAACUAACGAUGUCUUGGGAGCACUUCCAGAAAACAUUAAAAAACGGAAAUGGCAGGUUGGUGCCACACCCUCACACUAUUAAUGAGUGGGAGGACGACAUGAAGAAGUGGCCUCAUAUAACAUACGAGGACAUUUUUAACUAUUUUGUGUUGUCUCUCGGGGUGGAUGGGUCUACGGUGCGCAACUACAAAAGCACAGAUGCUUAUCAAUACCUCCACAGUGGGAAAGUUGGAAAGGUAUUAAUUCACCAUAUCGAGGACCUGGUAUUUAUGAAAGCCGAUGUCCAGCCCAGUCAAAGUAAAGCUGGUGGUCACUCUGCCUGGGUCCUUACCACGUCAACAGGCACUAUUGAGACGGCCGAUGCUCUUGUGUCGCGGGUCAGGGGAAGUCCUGCAACCUCGCAGCGGUGAUCAUAUGGAAGAAUGUGAACCUUUUCCAGAUAAGUCUAAUCUCUUGUUCAUUGACACUGCUUGGGUAAAGGUAAGGAAGGUAAGUAAGGUCAUGCAUUUCUAUUUCCAUCUGACAUAUGUAGAUUUCCAACCUUCAUCAGCAAUUUGUGAAUAAUAAUAAUAAUAAUGACUCAUUCGGACCACAUAAGUAUUUGGCCUUGGUUGUAUUCAUCAACCACUGCCAACUGCCAAGUAUGCCAGUCUAAUCUCGAAUGACAGUUUGGGGUAAGUACAUCAACAAGGUAAGUUUAAAAAGAAAGUUGUCAAUAUAAACAGAACUGUCCAUUUUUUCUAUCUAAGCAUUGUGACAACAAGGAUUGUAAUACCUUAAAAAAAAGCAUGACUGUUCUUUUUUAAACUUUGUUAAAGGUGCAGUUUGCUGUGUCUAAAGGUCUGACUGGAUUGUCCUGCACGGAUGAGCAGCGCCACUGGAACUCAGGGACACAGCGCAAUUUAGUCCCAAAAAGGCUGAGUAAUAUAUGUUUCAAGCACCACAAGGCAAGUGCUUACAUCUCUGACAACGUUCUGCCCAUUUCUCCAUCUCUACCGCCAACCCCUGCCUACAGCUCACAUGAAGCACUGAAGAUGAGCUUGGGAGUGGCCCAUGUUCCAGUGGGCAGCCUUCUGCACAAAUGCAUCUCUGCUGAACCAGACCUAAUUCCAGCCGCGCCCACACAGCUCCAGCAGCCUCAUAGUGUACAUGGCACUGACAUGCAGUGCCAGAAAUGCAUGUCAUUGUACAAUAUGUAUGUGAAACUAGAUGAGGAUAAAUGUGCCGGCUUGGAGGAGGUCACGCCUCCCACUUGUGGUUUGAUGCACGAAAAUUGAGAGUAACGUCUAGCUCUGCAAAAAAGGUCCCUGUGCGUGCAUCUACUAACCCAGACAAUUUUGUUAGAGAGCACCUUUUCCCUAGGUUUCAUGGGAACUCUGCAACCAGGUAUGGCCAGGAGAAUGAGGAGGUGGCCUGUGCAUGGAUGGAGAGCAGUGGGUUUACGGUUGAGAAGAGAGGCACAGUAGUUAGUGUCACCGAACCAUGGCUUUCUGCAAGCCCAGAUGGAGUGUUAAACUCCACAGAGCUGCUGGAGAUUAAAUGUCCUGUUUUGAGCAAGAACUAUACAUCUCUGACUGAACUGUUCUCCAGCAAGCUCACAGAUGUGAGGCUGGUGGAUGGGAUUCCACAGCUGCAACCAUAUGGAUCCCGUGGUUACUACCCUAAAGUCCAACUAGGUACAAAACUAGGUUUUGUACAGGACUAGAGAAAUGCAAGCUGCUUGUCUGGGCUCCAUCUGAGAGAGAGUCAUCAUUGAUGUGCCAUUUGAUUUGAGUUUUUGCUCACAAGUCCUACCUAAACUCAAGUCCUUCUAUUUUUCUCAAAUGCUGCUAAGGAUUGUAGAUGAGUUCCUGUCAGGCAGACUCACUCUGUGCCAUAAAUAUGUACAUCUGUGUAAAUAGGCUCAGGUUCUAGUCUUAACCCUUACAUACUGUUCAUAUUCUGGCCCUUCACAGUAUCCCUUCAUUAGUUUCUAUACCAAAUUUCUCAACAAAUCCAUUUUUCAUUCAUAAAUACACUAAUAAUAAAUGUCAUAAAUAAAUAGAUAGAUAAAUAAGUCAUUAAUAAAUGGGUGAUAAACCCUUAAUUGUAAAAGCUUUCAGAGAGCAGAGAAAGUAUUCUUUAGGUUUUGCUAUUUGUUUAUAGAGAGAAAACAUUCACAGUCACACUAUAUUAUGGUCCUGUCUUACCUUGAACAGCCAUAAUGAUUUUGAAUAUGAAUAAAGCAAAAACAUUUUUGGUAUGGUAUUUUUUUUGGGUCAACUUUAACCCAUAACACUAAUCUACAUAGAAAAAAAGAGUAUCAGCUGCACAAAACAUAUAAGUUGAAAUAUUACCGUUUCUGUAUAUUCUGGUUCACUUAGGGAAAAGUCAUAAAAUUAUCAGGCUAAAAGAACACUGUGUUCAGGUGGUUUUUACUGUUCUCAAAUGUAAAAACAGGUCAACCCAAACAGUAUGUAAAGGUUAAACCUGCUGUAUAGGACUCUCCACCUUCGGACAAAUAGUCUCCCUCUAUGGUUAAUUGUCAGUCAUUGUCAUCGUUGGAAUGUCAGACAACAGCUUUCCGGUGUCUGUAAUAUCGUGUACUGUUAACUUGAUUAACUGUAAGCUGACCCUACAUAAUGCUAGUUCCUUUUUUUUUAUUGCUUGCACUUCAGUUGUAUACAUUAAGUGGUGUUUUACAUUUAAUGGUAAUUGUGAACUUCUACAUAUAACUUCCAUGGCUUAAAUGAAUGCCAUAUGAAUUAAAUGUUUUAAUUUAGUGAUGUUUUACCAUUUAAUAGUGAAUAAUUGUAAUCACUUUCUAUGUAAACAAAUUCCAUGAGUUUAAUAAAUUUCAUGAGUGAAAUAUA
This is a long non-coding RNA of Thunnus maccoyii (southern bluefin tuna), 3183 nucleotides long. RefSeq lists it as uncharacterized. Lineage: Eukaryota; Metazoa; Chordata; Actinopteri; Scombriformes; Scombridae. The transcript is spliced from 2 exons. The record is from RefSeq and is a predicted model, not a curated record.